UAUGGCUCAGUGGUAGAGUGCUUGCCUAGCAUGUAGGAAGCUCUGGGUUCGAUUCCUCAGUA
RNAcentral lists this transfer RNA (62 nucleotides) under Dipodomys ordii (Ord's kangaroo rat). It matches the Rfam family "tRNA", at positions 6 to 65 of the family's 71-position model. Rfam says of the family: Transfer RNA (tRNA) molecules are approximately 80 nucleotides in length. Their secondary structure includes four short double-helical elements and three loops (D, anti-codon, and T loops). The record is from Rfam by way of RNAcentral. Lineage: Eukaryota; Metazoa; Chordata; Mammalia; Rodentia; Heteromyidae.